CAGUAGCCGCGGUAAUACGGAGGGAGCUAGCGUUGUUCGGAAUUACUGGGCGUAAAGCGCACGUAGGCGGCUUUGUAAGUUAGAGGUGAAAGCCUGGAGCUCAACUCCAGAACUGCCUUUAAGACUGCAUCGCUUGAAUCCAGGAGAGGUGAGUGGAAUUCCGAGUGUAGAGGUGAAAUUCGUAGAUAUUCGGAAGAACACCAGUGGCGAAGGCGGCUCACUGGACUGGUAUUGACGCUGAGGUGCGAAAGCUAGGGGAGCAAAUGGGAUUAGAUACCCCAGUAGUCCCUGUCUCUUAUAC
Molecule: ribosomal RNA, 301 nt
Filed under: uncultured bacterium
Lineage: Bacteria
Description: partial 16S ribosomal RNA
Rfam family: Bacterial small subunit ribosomal RNA
Source: RNAcentral